Molecule: unclassified non-coding RNA, 254 nt
Filed under: Hevea brasiliensis (rubber tree)
Lineage: Eukaryota; Viridiplantae; Streptophyta; Magnoliopsida; Malpighiales; Euphorbiaceae
Source: RNAcentral
GAGAUAUUACCUUUUAGUUUGUUAUGGUGACAUUGCAUAUCAAUGGUAUCACAUGCAGCAUAGUGCUACUUAUCGGUUUGCUGAUAAUAAUACCAUGUUAAUUUAAAUUUGAAACCUGCUUGUUUCAUGUGUAAUCUGUGUUGUUUAAUAAUGUUCUUUGAAUUACUUACAUAGUUUUGCUGGAUAGUAAUUUCAGUUGAUAUUGAUGUACAUUGUCUCAUGUCUUUUGCAGCUGGGAACUGGUCUUAGCAUAA